UACGAAGGGGGCUAGCGUUGAUCGGAAUUACUGGGCGUAAAGCGCGUGUGGGCGGACUGUUAAGUCGGGGGUGAAAUCCCGGGGCUCAACCCCGGAACUGCCUUCGAUACUGGCGGUCUAGAGGUCUGGAGACGUGAGUGGAAUUCCGAGUGUAGAGGUGAAAUUCGUAGAAAUUCGGAGGAACACCAGUGGCGAAGGCGGCUCACUGGCCAGAUUUUGUCGCUGAGGUGCGAAAGCGUGGGGAGCAAACAGG
Molecule: ribosomal RNA, 253 nt
Filed under: uncultured bacterium
Lineage: Bacteria
Description: partial 16S ribosomal RNA
Rfam family: Bacterial small subunit ribosomal RNA
Source: RNAcentral